CUUCAAGUGAGUUCUGCUUCCAUAAGUUCAAAGCAUAAAUCUAUAAAUAAAAGGGCAGGAUUUCCUCCAAUAAGGACAAACUCUUGGACAUGAUGUAAUAGGUUAUUAUAUAGAAUGGUACCCCCAAAUGCAAUGGGGUAAUAUAACUUUAAGACCAACGUGAGAGAAGUUUUGUUGAAGCUCAGUUCAAGAACAAUAGAGCUCAUGUUUAGUGACCUCCUGGCGACACUGGUACUUUGAAGAAGAGCUGAAGAAUCAAAAGUUGUAAUCUAGGAAAGUGAAGAAGGAACUUUUAUACAGAAACACAGAGAAGGAUUUUCAAUGGGGCCAACUGAAAGACUGAGAGGACACAGGACUCAUUCAAGCAAGUGAAGCAAAACAUCAGGUUGACAGCUCAGCAGGCUGAGAACACUAAGACCUGGACUUGAGGAUGCGAGGAUGCCAUGGUCGAAUGUGAACACAAGUCCCUCUGGACAUCGGACCACAUGUCUGGGUGGGGAUGGUGGCUGGAGUGCUGUGGCUGCCAGGGAAAGGACCGUCAUGGAAGGGCUAUGUGAGUGAGCCAGAGCUAAAACCCGGAGAAGUGGAAUCUGCACAGGGCAACUCUUAUGUGCGCUGGGCAUGCUCAGAAGCAGCGGGCUGGUUUGGGUCCGAAGUCGGAGGUAGGCUUCUUCAGCGAGGCGCUAGAGCAGGAGUGCCCGGGAAGCCUUGCAGUGCGUUAGAGAAGAUCCCACUUUUCCCAAGUAGGCGUGGCCCACGUUCCUCCAGAGACUGAGAGGUGAGUACGAUCUCUUGGCAGUAACCCCCAACCCCCAGCCACAUACAAGCAGCCUCU
This 835-nucleotide long non-coding RNA is filed under the name Phascolarctos cinereus (koala). RNAcentral describes it as "lncRNA (ENSPCIG00000021341.2)". Lineage: Eukaryota; Metazoa; Chordata; Mammalia; Diprotodontia; Phascolarctidae. The record is from RNAcentral.